CGUCAGCGUUCUGCAGCUCAGAAGUGGGCUCUCACCAAAACCCAAACACACUGGGAGCCUGAUCUCACUUCCAGCCUCCACAACUGUGAGAAAUACAUUGCUGUUGUUUAUAAGCCACUCAGUCCAUGCUAGUUUGAUACAGCAGCCCGAACUAAGACCCUAGUGAUCCAUUAAAUGCAUGCAGAGAAGAGAAGACCAAGGACUAAGCAAGCGCUCCAAAAACAAGAGAUUGGGAAGAGGAAAUCAACCAGGGACACCGAGAAGGAACAACCAACAAGUGAUUCCUCAGGACAGAACAUCCUGCCUACUCCGUUAUAGUCAGCUUCAAGCCAUUUCCCACUGUUGUUUGGUGCUUGAUGAGUUUUUUGGAGAUUGAAUGACAGCUUUCAUCCCAGUUGAAAUCCCUAUUUAUGUCCAGAAAAAAGUGUUAGCUCCAAAAUUCACCUGAAGACUCGACUGCAUCAUUAAUACCGAGUGGACCACAAGCACGUGUCAGAGACGGUAUUCCCAGUCGGACCACAGCAUCCCGAUGCCAACCCCAAAAGAAAAGACAAAGAAAAGGAGCAGUAAUUCUGGAGCUCGAUGGGCUCUCCUUUUGGGCAAUAAUUCAAGCUGCUAUAUGUAGAGGCUUUGUAAUUCCUUGACUUGAAAAGUUAGUCCUACAAAGUGAAAGUGCAUGGCAUAAAACAUGCCUUAGAUGAUGGAGUAAACCUUUGUCUCGAAAAUUCUGGAGUUAUCAAAGGCAGAAGCAGGGCAACAUUCUCACUGAAAUGAUGAGUGUCUCUUUUGGCAAUUCUCCUAGUGGGCUUUGCUGACGGUUGAGGUGGGGGAGGAGCAGGCUUGGAGGUCCCUGGAGAAAUCCAGAAGGGACCCCUGAGAAAGAAAUAAAUGCAAUAAAACAAAAAUCUAAAAAACUCAGUGACUGCCCACACCCGGGAUUGGGUCCUGGCAGCAGGCUCAGCACAAGCCAGACCCCUCUGUGGAAAGUUGGCUGAACCUUGCCCUCUGGGUGCAAGGAAAAGCGUCUCUCCUGCCAGGAAUGCUGUAUAAACAUCCUUUUCCUACAGGAUCCUGUGGCUUGGGGGUCCAGGGGAGCGCCAGGAAAGUAUCCUAAUAGAGACAGAUUUUGAACUCCUGCUGUCUCUUUUCAGAUCAUAAAUUACUGUUAAUUCUGUUUAUACUCUCCCCCUUUCCCCUCUUAAUAGUUUUAGAAAAGUAAUUGACGACAAAGUGGAGCCCACAAAGGGUGUAUGUGAGGGAGCCCUGCUCCCCUGGCUGAGAAACGGACAAGUGUUUCCUCAUCCUGCACUUCCCAGCAAAAAAAGUUAAAUAUUUAUGUACCACAGGUGCCCUUCCUUGCCCUUCCCGCAUACCCUCUUGUGGCUUUACUGUUCAGGAGAAGGACUAGAGCUUCAAGUGCUACUUAAUGGGAAAGGUUGGUUGGUUUGCUUGCCUGCUUGCCUUCCUCGCCUCCUCCAGAACCGGGAGGCUGUACUAGUGCUAUGUGGGCUUUGGGGGGUGGGGAGCAAGCUGCUCAGAAGUAGCCCCCGGAUCUAGUGGUUUCUCCUUGCUCAGGCACCAUCUUGCUUCAUAGCAUAAAGCCCCCAGGGGUAUUUGCUGAAGCCAGUUCCAGGGUGAGGAAUAUGCCCAAGCUUGAAAUUGGUCGGGUCUGGGUUUAAAUCCUAGGUCAGCCUGUUCAUUGAACUGUUGACUUAAUCACUUAGAGUCUCAGUGUCCUCAUCUGUAAAAUGGGGAGAAUAAUAGCAUUUCCCAAGAGGGUGGUGGGGAAAGUUAAAUAAUAAAGAAAAAGUGACAGAGGUCUGAUGAGACUUUGGUCAAUGCCAGUUCUUUUUUCCUUCUUGACUGUGCUGUCCAAGAUGGUGGCCAUCAGCCACACGUGGCUCCUGAGCACGUAAAAUAUGGCUACUUGCAAAUGAUAAGUGCUGUAAGUGUAAAACACAUAUCAGAUUUCAAAGACCUUUUCUUUUUCUUUUUCUUUUUUUUAAAGAUAUUAUUUAUUUAUUUGACAGAGAGAGCAAGAGAGCACAGCAGGGUGAGCAGAGGAGGGAGAGGGGGAAGCAGGCUCCCCACUGAGC
Long non-coding RNA from Zalophus californianus (California sea lion), 2096 nucleotides. RefSeq lists it as uncharacterized. NCBI's taxonomy places the organism in Eukaryota, Metazoa, Chordata, Mammalia, Carnivora, Otariidae. The transcript is spliced from 3 exons. The record is from RefSeq and is a predicted model, not a curated record.